Molecule: non-coding RNA, 404 nt
Organism: Pelobates cultripes (western spadefoot toad)
Lineage: Eukaryota; Metazoa; Chordata; Amphibia; Anura; Pelobatidae
Source: the annotation of a GenBank genome assembly
GUUGAGUGAUACGUGUGUUAUUCGAUGUUAAUAACUAGAGGAGGCUAGAUUGAGCAGGAGGGAACAGAAUAUCUAGGAGGUAAAAUGCUCUCUUGGGGAGAAACUAUUUAUCAAGGGUUCACUAACCUGGUUGCUGAAAUUGUUAUGGUGCCAUGUGAUCCCAGGCGCCCGCCAAUCUAAACUGUUAGUAAACGCUUUAAACCCAAUGUCUUCUGUUCGAUACAGGUCAGUUCUGUUCCCAAACUUCAGCUUGCAGCCUGAGACUUCAGUCAGUACACUUCUUACUCUAUUUUGUUAAAGGGGAGCUGAGUCAGUCAGUGGCAUCCCUGUCCAAGGUUUCCUGAUUGAAACCUCGAACUGAAACAGAAGUUUGCGGGCAGAGCUGACAGUGCAGGACUUUGGGG